CACGUAGUUAGCCGGCGCUUUUUCUGCAGGUACCGUCACUUUCGCUUCUUCCCUGCUAAAAGAGGUUUACAACCCGAAGGCCGUCGUCCCUCACGCGGCGUUGCUGCAUCAGGCUUGCGCCCAUUGCGCAAUAUUCCCCACUGCUGCCUCCCGUAGGAGUCUGGGCCGUGUCUCAGUCCCAGUGUGGCCGGUCACCCUCUCAGGCCGGCUACCCGUCGACGCCUUGGUGAGCCAUUACCUCACCAACAAGCUGAUAGGCCGCGAGCCCAUCCCCAACCGAAAUUCUUUCCAGACGCAGACCAUGCGGUCACGUCACAUAUCCAGUAUUAGACGACCGUUUCCAGCGCUUAUCCCAGAGUCAGGGGCAGGUUGCUCACGUGUUACUCACCCGUUCGCCACUGAUCCCACAGAGCAAGCUCGUGUUCACCGUUCGACUUGCAUGUGUUAAGCACGCCGCCAGCGUUCAUCCUGAGCCCAGGAUCCAAAACUCGUCUAGG
This 497-nucleotide ribosomal RNA is filed under the name uncultured Microbacterium sp. RNAcentral describes it as "partial 16S ribosomal RNA". The record is from RNAcentral. Lineage: Bacteria; Bacillati; Actinomycetota; Actinomycetes; Micrococcales; Microbacteriaceae.